UACGGAGGGUGCAAGCGUUGUUCGGAUUUACUGGGCGUAAAGCGCGCGCAGGCGGAUCUUCAAGUCAGAUGUGAAAUCUCGGGGCUCAACCUCGAAACUGCGUCUGAAACUGUUGAUCUAGAGUCUCAGAGGGGAUAGGGGAAUUUCACGUGUAGGGGUAAAAUCCGUAGAGAUGUGAAGGAACACCGGUGGCGAAGGCG
Molecule: ribosomal RNA, 200 nt
Filed under: uncultured bacterium
Lineage: Bacteria
Description: partial 16S ribosomal RNA
Rfam family: Bacterial small subunit ribosomal RNA
Source: RNAcentral